GGACGGGGACGGGUGUGCGGACGAUUAGCUAGUUGGCGGGGCAACGGCCCACCAAGGCGACGAUCGUUAGCUGAUGUGAGAGCAUGGUCAGCCACACGGGCACUGAGACACGGGCCCGACUCCUACGGGAGGCAGCAGUAAGGAAUAUUGGUCAAUGGGCGCAGGCCUGAACCAGCCAUGCCGCGUGGAGGACGAAGGCCCUCCGGGUCGUAAACUCCUUUUACCCGGGACGAAAAAAGCCCUUUUGAGGGCACUUGACGGUACCGGGGGAAUAAGCACCGGCUAACUCCGUGCCAGCAGCCGCGGUAAUACGGAGGGUGCGAGCGUUAUCCGGAUUCACUGGGUUUAAAGGGUGCGCAGGCGGGCUUUUAAGUCAGCGGUGAAACCCGCGGGCUCAACCCGCGGACUGCCGAUGAUACUAGGGGCCUUGGAUGUCGCUGAGGGCAGCGGAAUGGGGCAUGUAGCGGUGAAAUGCAUAGAUAUGCCCCGGAACACCGAUUGCGGAGGCAGCUGCCUAAAGGACGAUCGACGCUGAGGCACGAAAGCGUGGGUAGCGAACAGGAUUAGAUACCCUGGUAGUCCACGCCCUAAACGAUGAUUACUCGACGUCCGCGGCAUACUGUGGGCGUCCAAGCGAAAGCAU
This 643-nucleotide ribosomal RNA is filed under the name uncultured bacterium. Its description in RNAcentral is "bacterial SSU rRNA". It matches the Rfam family "Bacterial small subunit ribosomal RNA", at positions 217 to 860 of the family's 1533-position model. The record is from RNAcentral.